UAUUUUCUUUAUAAAGCCUCUUUUAGGUCAAAUCGAGAUAUUGGAAUUUCAUAUCUAUAUGUCGAUUUGAUCUUUGCAUCGCUUGGAGUUCUCUUCCCUGGCUUUUAUCGAUACUCUAAGCGAAGGAUCACCAUAGCAUGAUGCUCUUCAUGAACGGUGUCAUGGAUUCGGCAAUGUUGAAGGUGAUUCGUGGAUUCGGAUCGUUGGCUCGUGGAUUCGAGUGGCGUCGUGGAUUCGGCGUGAUAGAAGCUUCGUGUAUUCGAAGUGGAGGCGUUCGUGGAUUCGAACGUGAGGGCGUGGACAACCCAGAGGAUUGCGUGAGAUUUAUAGGAAGUUAAGAGAGGUUGAGUCCGUGGAGUCGGUAAUCACCUUGUAAUCUUUUCUUUUAGUGAAUUAUUUUUUCGCAUGUUUGUCCCGUGGGUUUUUCUCCAAGUUGGAGUUUUCCCACGUAAAUCUCGGUGUAAUUUUUAUUUUCCGCAUUUAUUUUUAUCGCAUUGAGAUUUGUGGUUUUUGGCUAUUACACCUAUUCACCCCCCUCUAGGUGUUAGAUACAAUCUAGAUAGAUCCUUGGGCACCCCAUAACUUUCAAUUGGUAUCAGAGCGGGAUCUAGAUAAAUUGUUAUCUAAUGGCCGAAGGCGGAAACAUUAAUUGACCAUCGCUCUUCAAUGGCACAAACUAUGCCUAUUGGAAAGUUCACAUGAGAGCUUUUCUAAUCGCAAUCGAUGAGCGCGUUUAGCAAUAAAUAGAAUUUGGAUGGAAACAUCAUAUUGAAAAGGUCGAGAAUGUUGAAACGCCAAAACCAUGAAACAAGUGGACAAAAGAUGAAAACAAGGCAUCUUCGUUUAACGGCAAGGGCAUAAACGCUUUAUUUAAUGCAUUGUCUCAAACGGAGUUUACUCGUGUUUCAGCGUGUGGAACCGCCAAAGAAAUUUGGGAUACUCUAUAAGUUACGCAUGAAGGAACGAGCUUACUAAAGGUCCAAAAAUUGCAAAUGUUAACAAGUAAAUUUGAUUCAAUUUUUAUGGACGAAAAUGAGACCUUUACCGAGUACUAUACGCGUCUACAAAACGUUGUGAAUACAUGCGCUAACUUGGGAGAGAAAAUUCCGGAUGCUAAAGUUGUUAGAAAAAUACUUAGAACUCUUCCAGAACGGUUUCGGGCUAAGGUAGCGUGAUCAAAACGGUUAAGCAUCCGGAUGAGAUGAAAGUAGAGGAGUUAGUAGGUGCUUUGCAAACUUAUGAAAUGACUUUUCCUACUAAUCAAUUUUCUUCCAAGUCUUCUCCUAAAAGUACAUGGUUGCACUCAAAUCGACAAAGAAAGAAGACGACGACUCUGAUUCCGACGGAGAUAUUUUGCUCGCCGAUUUCGAACAUCAAUUAGCGCUCCUAAUGAAGAAGUUCCGACGGAAUUUUUGAAAAAAUAGAUCGGACAAGGCUUCAUCCUCUAAGCAAAAAUUCUUUUCUAAGCAUUCUCCUAAUUCUAAAUCUAAGGAUAAAAAACUUGCAAAGUCUUCAAAAGAAAAAGAUGAAUUUGAAGGAAAAAUCCAAUGCUACAAAUGCAAAGGCUACGGACACAUUGCAACGGAUUGUCCUUCUAAGAAGACUUAUGAACAAAAGGCUUUGCAAGCAAAGACUUGGGAUGACUCUUCCUCUAGUGAAUCAUCUUCAAGUGACGAAGAAAAGAGUGAUCAUGUUGCUUUAUUUACUAACACUUCUUUAUCUUCGUCUAACGUUGUUUGUUUAUCCUCUAUUGCUACUAAUUCCAAUGUUUCUCUUUCUUCGCAUGACUCUUCGAGCGACAAUGGCGAAAGCGAGGAGGAAUCAAACGACGAGGACUUAGCGGAAGCGUAUAAUCAACUCCUUAUUGAAUAAAAAAAGAUGGCCAAGCAUAAUAAGAAGUUGAGGCGUUGUCUAUUGGACAUUGAGAAAGAAAACAAAAAUUUGAAGAUUACAAAUAAAGCUCUUGAGAAGGAAAGGGAAUCAAUUUUGAAAAAUAAUUCGGACCUUCAAAAGAAGCUUGAUGAAGCGGAAACAAUGAUCAAAUAUUCUAAUGAUAAGAUUGGUUUUCUAGAACAACAACAUAAAGAAAUUCGUUCAUCCAAUCAAGUGUUGACUAAACAAGUUUAUCAACUUAACUCCGACAUUCAAAAAUUUUCUUCCGAAUCGAAGAAAUUGGAUCAUAUGCUAGGAUUGGGUCAAACGAACAAGCUUGGUCUUGGUUAUGAAAGGACAUAUGUUGAGAAGGAUCAAACGGCGAUAUCUAAAGUCUCAACAACUUUGAAAGAGAAGGUGUGUCAUAAAUGUGGCAUCAAAGGACACAUCAAAAAGAGUUGUCCAAACAAGGAUUUGAAACGUCAAUCCGUAUUCUCUAAACCUCAAUCGGCAUCAUCUACAACUCGACAUCCCCCACGGAAUCAAAAGCAAAAUCAUUUAAGUCAAACGCCUCUAGGGAACCGGUUUUCUAAUGCACAAUGUUAUGUUCGACCGAACCCAAAAGCAAACCGGAUUUCUAAGCCUCAACGACAAGUUCAACCGAAGCCUGAAGCAACGAAACGACAAACGGUUGAUUCAAAAUCAAAACAAAUUGUGAUUAACGUCGACAAACCAAGACAACCAACAAUCCGACAAGUUUGGAUCCGAAAAGGUGAUAUCUUUCCUUGCUCUUUAUCUUAGUUUGUUCUAUUGUUUAUAUAAUGCUUUGUUUGGUGCUUAUUGCAUAUUUUUAUUCAUUGCAUUACAUGUUUAGACGAUUUUUGGUGCUUGAAAUUUAUUUGUUUCAAAAUUAUUUUGAGGAAAGGUGAUUUGGAAUUUAAAAAAAAACUCUUUCUUUGAGAUAGGAGAUGAUUGAAAAUCUUACUUUAGGGAGUAUUUUAAAUGUGACUUAACCAGAAUUCAAAUUGAAUUAAAUUCAUAUUAAUUAUCGGUUUUACUCUACUUUUUAUUAUUUUGACGAUAAUUUAUUAUAUGAAUUCUUAAUACACAUAUUCAUCAAAAUUUUGAAAUCAAAUUUGAUCUCUUGGUGAUUAAUUCAUCUUGGUUGUGUGUGUUGGAUAUGAUGGAUGGAUAUUCUCUNGGUGAUUAAUUCAUCUUGGUUGUGUGUGUUGGAUAUGAUGGAUGGAUAUUCUCUAAUUGACUAAAAUUCGUCAAAAUUAUUUUCAAUUGUGAGAUUGUCUAAUUUAUGGGGAGUUUUGAAUUAUUUAAAAAAUAUACAUAUAUAAAAAAAGGGAAACUCCUAUGUUUAAAAGAUGUGGAAAAAGCUACAUCCAAAAGGAGUGUGAAACUACCACCACAUGUAGAAAAGAGCUACCACCCCGGUCGUCCGGUACGUGUGUGAAGCUACCACAUGAAGAUUGAAUUAAAUAACCGAAAAGGUUGAAAAAAAAUAAAUAUUUUAGAAUUUUCGGAGUUGUAAGGUGUUAGAAUGAAAAGAUGCUCAAAAAGCCACCCCCGGUGCUAUAUUAGUUAAAUCUCUAUUUUGAACGAUUUGCGACAAAUUGAGGUCAAUUUGGUUGAAUUUCUAAAAAUCAUUUUUCAUGAACCGUUACAUCUUGAUGGUUUUGAAUCAUUAGAUUAUUUUUGAUAACAUAAUUUUGAUGAUUCGAUGCAUUUUGAAAUCCUAUAAUAUUUUAUCUUCAUCAUAAUAAUUUUUGGAGUAUAAUUUUUAAUUUUUAUGAAAUUAAUAUAUUUUGAGGAUUGUCGGAAGGCCGUGUUAUAUAGCCUCUUGGCAAGUUUUGGCACGUCAAUCUCGAGUGCUGCAACGAAUCAAAUGAUGUGUGCUUUGCUUUUCUUUCAUUCUCUUUUAGGCCUAUGACUAUGACAUGACUACUCUUAUACUUUCUAAUAAGUUUUCUCUUUAUAUGCUUUGUCUUUGGCAAUUUUUGAGAAAAAGGGGGAGAGCAUAGAUGAACAAGUGUUGAUCGAGAACAAAGGAGAAUAAGGAAUAAAAUCAAAGGAGAAGAGGAUGAAUUCAAGAACAAAGGGGGAGAUGUGAUCAUCGAGAACAAAUGUGGAGAAGGUAUAAGAAUAUAAUGUUGUUAAGGUGGAGAUGUGAUCUACAUUGUUUUUGGAUAAAUUGUUUUGCAGGAAAUCAAGACUUCAAGACUCCUAAUUGUGUCUAAGUCAUAGAGUCUGUUUUAGGAGUUUUGAUGUACUUUUGCAUUUCAUAUUGUAUUUGGAUCACAUGCGAGGGGUUCAAUGUUUUGGUGAUGACAAUUGAACUUCGUUUUUCUUUAAGAUGUAAUUUUUGAGUAGUUGUGAGUUUUGUUACGAAAUUGCCAAAGGGGGAGAUUGUUAAGUCUUGUGUGUUGGCAAGUUUCGUGAAGUGAGUCGGAGUCGUGAAGGAUCGAUAUGUAUCGUCGAAGAUUGAAGAAUCCAAGACUUCGAAGAGAUUGGAAAAUAACUCACGACGUGAAUCACGAUGCUCAGGUAAAGUUUUAAUUCAUGUUAUGGUGAUUCAUACUUAAUUAUAGGCAUUAGAAUCAUAUAAUCAAAGUUUAGUGGAUUAGAAAGUGUAUUGGAACUUUGCGAAACCUGAAACGUGAAAAGAAUCUAAAAACUACACUGUGUAUGGGUACACAUUGAAAGUGUUAUCGGUUACAAACUGUGUACGGGUACAACCAUCAACAUGUUACCGGUUACAAACUGUGUACGGGUACAACCAUCAACAUGUUACCGGUUACAAGGCUGUUUUGAUUUUCUGUUCCGUCAUCGUGUAAGCGAUAACAGCUUAAGUGUGUACCGGUACACAAUGUAAGAUUUUCUGUUCCGUCAUCAUGUACCGGUGACAGCCUCACGUGUAUCGGUACACAAUGCAAAUUUCGGGAAAAGCUUUCUAAUCUGACUCCGAUUGAUUCUAAAUCCUAUAAAUAAGCUAUUGGGGUUCUCUAACUCAUCAUGCAUCACAAAAAUACAUAUUUGAGAAACCCUAGAGACUUGGAAUUCAUCAAAAACCUAUUUUCUUCAUAAAGCCUCUUUUAGGUCAAAUCGAGAAAUUGGAAUUUCAUAUCUAUAUGUCGAUUUGAUCUUUGCUUCGCUUGGAGUUCUCUUCCCUGGGUUUUAUCGAUACUCUAAGCGAAGGAUCACCAUAGCAUGAUGCUCUUCAUGAACGGUGUCGUGGAUUCGGCAUAAUUGAAGGCGAUUCGUGGAUUCGGAUCGUUGGCUCGUGGAUUCGAGUGGCAUCGUGGAUUCGGCGUGAUAGAAGUUUCGUGGAUUCAAAGUGGAGGCGUUCAUGGAUUCGAAAUUGAGGGCGUGGACAACCCGGAGGAUUGUGCGAGAUUCAUAGGAGGUUAAGAGAGGUUGAGUCCGUGGAGUCGGUAAUCACCUUGUAAUCUUUUCUCUUAGUGAAUUAUUUUUUCGCGUGUUGGUCCCGUUGGUUUUUCUCCAAGUUAGAGUUUUCCCAUGUAAAUCUCGGUGUAAUUUUUAUUUUCCGCAUUUAUUUUUUUCGCAUUGAGAUUUAUGUUUUUUGGCUAUUACACCUAUUCACCCCC
RNAcentral lists this long non-coding RNA (5486 nucleotides) under Ananas comosus (pineapple). Its description in RNAcentral is "long non-coding RNA (ACOM_LNC033169)". The record is from RNAcentral. Lineage: Eukaryota; Viridiplantae; Streptophyta; Magnoliopsida; Poales; Bromeliaceae.